CCUUCAGCAACCAUAAAAACAAAUACUACAUACUGAGCAUUCAUCUAAAUCCUCCAGCGUGGGUGUUAUUUCCAGGGCAUCAUCCUACCCAAACAUGGCCACGAUUUGCAAGGUGAAGGCUGAUAAAUAUUUACAGAUACCAUUGACAAGCUCUUGCCAAAGAGACCGGACAAGACUUUCCUUGGACCAUUUAUGGGUUACAGAGUAUGGAUGAAUAAAAGAGAGCUUUAACCUUCUAUAGCAGUAUAUCCCAACCAGAAAUGCCUCCAGCUGUUGC
Molecule: long non-coding RNA, 277 nt
Organism: Hyla sarda
Lineage: Eukaryota; Metazoa; Chordata; Amphibia; Anura; Hylidae
Exons: 3
Source: RefSeq, a predicted model, not a curated record